GACGAACGCUGGCGGCGUGCUUAACACAUGCAAGUCGAACGGAAAGGCCCUGCUUUUGUGGGGUGCUCGAGUGGCGAACGGGUGAGUAACACGUGAGUAACCUGCCCUUGACUUUGGGAUAACUUCAGGAAACUGGGGCUAAUACCGGAUAGGAGCUCCUGCUGCAUGGUGGGGGUUGGAAAGUUUCGGCGGUUGGGGAUGGACUCGCGGCUUAUCAGCUUGUUGGUGGGGUAGUGGCUUACCAAGGCUUUGACGGGUAGCCGGCCUGAGAGGGUGACCGGCCACAUUGGGACUGCGAUACGGCCCAGACUCCUACGGGAGGCAGCAGUGGGGAAUAUUGCACAAUGGGCGGAAGCCUGAUGCAGCAACGCCGCGUGCGGGAUGACGUCCUUCGGGUUGUAAACCGCUUCCGCCUGUGACGAAGCGUGAGUGACGGUAAUGGGUAAAGAAGCACCGGCUAACUACGUG
Molecule: ribosomal RNA, 468 nt
Filed under: uncultured bacterium
Lineage: Bacteria
Description: partial 16S ribosomal RNA
Rfam family: Bacterial small subunit ribosomal RNA
Source: RNAcentral